CUUAAUGUUGCCUCUAUAAUAGAUUUCAGAUUUGAUCUAAUCAAAUCUAAUUGUAUGAAUUUAUCAGAUUAUGUCAGUUCUUCUACCUGUCAAACUUCAUAAAUUCUACAUUAAAGGCAUCAGUACCUUCACCAAGGUACUCUUUUUCUAAAAAGAAUGUUGAACAACUCUUGUUCUUUAGCAUGGUAGAAGUUAUAUCCCCUAGAUUCUUUGGGGUACCCUACAAAAUAAUACAUAUAGGAUCAAGAUCCAAGCUAAUUGGUCUACAAAUGCUCGACAUAAACUAAACACUCCCAAACCCCAAGAUAAGAAAGUAUCGGCUUAUGCCUAG
This 331-nucleotide long non-coding RNA is filed under the name Elaeis guineensis (African oil palm). RNAcentral describes it as "long non-coding RNA (EGUI_LNC049103)". The record is from RNAcentral. Lineage: Eukaryota; Viridiplantae; Streptophyta; Magnoliopsida; Arecales; Arecaceae.